UACGUAGGGUGCAAGCGUUGUCCGGAAUUAUUGGGCGUAAAGAGCUCGUAGGCGGUCUGUCGCGUCUGCUGUGAAAACCUAGGGCUUAACUCUGGGCGUGCAGUGGGUACGGGCAGGCUAGAGUGCGGUAGGGGAGACUGGAAUUCCUGGUGUAGCGGUGGAAUGCGCAGAUAUCAGGAGGAACACCGAUGGCGAAGGCAGGUCACUGGGCCGCAACUGACGCUGAGGAGCGAAAGCAUGGGGAGCGAACAGG
Molecule: ribosomal RNA, 253 nt
Filed under: uncultured bacterium
Lineage: Bacteria
Description: partial 16S ribosomal RNA
Rfam family: Bacterial small subunit ribosomal RNA
Source: RNAcentral